UAACGGCGAGUGAAGCGGCAACAGCUCAAAUUUGAAAUCUGGCGGCCUCUGGGCCGUCCGAGUUGUAAUUUGAAGAGGAUGCUUUUGGCGAGGCGCCUUCCGAGUGCCCUGGAACGGGACGCCACAGAGGGUGAGAGCCCCGUAUGGUUGGACGCCGAGCCUCUGUAAAGCUCCUUCGACGAGUCGAGUAGUUUGGGAAUGCUGCUCAAAAUGGGAGGUAAACCCCUUCUAAAGCUAAAUACUGGCCAGAGACCGAUAGCGCACAAGUAGAGUGAUCGAAAGAUGAAAAGCACUUUGAAAAGAGAGUUAAACAGCACGUGAAAUUGUUGAAAGGGAAGCGCUUGCGACCAGACUUGUGCCCGUCGAAUCAGCCGCCGCUCGUCGGCGGCGCACUUCGGCGGGCUCAGGCCAGCAUCAGUUCGCUGCAGGGGGAGAAAGGCGAUGGGAAUGUGGCUCUUCGGAGUGUUAUAGCCCGCCGCGCAAUACCCCUCGGCGGACUGAGGACCGCGCAUCUGCAAGGAUGCU
This 525-nucleotide ribosomal RNA is filed under the name Scedosporium boydii. RNAcentral describes it as "eukaryotic LSU rRNA". It matches the Rfam family "Eukaryotic large subunit ribosomal RNA", at positions 84 to 627 of the family's 3401-position model. The record is from RNAcentral. Lineage: Eukaryota; Fungi; Ascomycota; Sordariomycetes; Microascales; Microascaceae.